Molecule: long non-coding RNA, 1172 nt
Organism: Astatotilapia calliptera (eastern happy)
Lineage: Eukaryota; Metazoa; Chordata; Actinopteri; Cichliformes; Cichlidae
Source: Ensembl
GCUUAAUUGUCCUCACUCUCUCUGCUGGAAUGCAAAUAGCCCUCGAAACUGGCCUCCACUGCGAGGUGAGCCGAAAGUGGAGAAACCAAGGUCCCGCUUAUUGUGGCGAGUCGGUAAAAACACAUAAUAAAAGCCAAAAAUCACAUCCAGGCUACUUUCAGUCCUGGCUGUCAGAGCUGCAUCAGACAGUAGAUUUCCAUUCUCCAAACUUUAUGCUGUCUCCCCUUUGUUUUUGUCCAAUACAGCAACAUUUCAUAAUCACUUCAAUGCCACUGCCGCUCGUCACACAGAGCCCAAACAGACAGGCAGGUGAAGGGUCACGAUGAGUCACAGAGAAUCGGUGAGGGAUGAAAAGAGUUAAAUGCUGGGGCGUAUGUAUCCUGUCUGUCUUUGAUCUCUGCCUCAGGUAGCUCUUUCACAGCCAUCACUCUUAGCCAGGAGCUGAUGGAAGGCUGCUCCCUGUGAGGACGGACUUGCUCAGACUGAGACUGUCUCCUUGCCGUGACAGAGGAAUGGCAUGACAUGUCAGGCAUCUAAACAAAAACUACACGCAAACAAAACCCUCAGUGGAUUUCUGUGUUUAUCUUUCUACUUGAUUUGAUUGUGUUCUCCUUUUUAGAACUUUUUUCCCUUUUUUUUUUUAAUUAUCAAAUUAAACCGGUGGUAUAAGGAUGCAGGGAGGGAGGGAGCGGAGAAGGCGUGUUUUGGUGAGGUUCAAAGAUAAAACGAGACAGUCUCGAAGGCUUUGAUGUUUCUUGGCAGGCUUUAGGCGGCCACUGACAAUCUGAUGAUCUGGGAGCGCAGGCCUUUUUUUUUUUUUUUGAGACCGUGCCCCAUCCUGGCCCCAGUCGUCUAGCCCUGCAGUUACAAACGCUUUAAUGUGACAAGGUUAAACACCUGAAGUACUGCAGCAAAAUGUCACAAUGAAACCAAGGUCAGGGGAGCAACUUUAAUCUUGGGAUAGCUUUCUAGUUGAACAGUCUGCUCGUUUAUUUAUGACAGUUUAAAGCAUAAAGAGUCCUCUUCAUUCGUCAAUUUAUUCUCAAGGAAAAUCAUCAGUGUCAAAUCUGCUUUAAUCAAUAUCUUCAUAUUGAGACUUGAUCAUCACAGGACUACUGAACUGAACUGAAGGGUGCUGCCUGCUUGUUGUGACAACCCUACGGAGAAUUAUC